This is a long non-coding RNA of Xiphophorus couchianus (Monterrey platyfish), 2134 nucleotides long. RefSeq lists it as uncharacterized. The record is from RefSeq and is a predicted model, not a curated record. The transcript has 7 exons. Lineage: Eukaryota; Metazoa; Chordata; Actinopteri; Cyprinodontiformes; Poeciliidae.
GGGGGACACCUGAGGACACAGAAUAAAGAGACAGACAUCAUGUUGGAUCUCCUCAGCCGGUAAACCUCCACCUUCAACACCACCAGUCAGAUGGAGGAAGAUAAGAGAACCCUGUUGACAAAAAAACUGACCAACAAUUAAAGCAGAAGACCUGCUCCACCUGCUGAUCUACUGGUUGUAAGAGAUUGUGGAAAAGCAUAACUGAGACAAGACAACAGCACUGAACCAAUCAGGAGAGAGAAGACAGAGAAAAUCCUGCUGGAAAUCCCGAGAUGAAGUUUCCUGAUGCAACAGGGGGAAACCUGAGGACACAGAAUAAAGAAGGACCAAGUGAAACUCAUGAAGAGGAUGGUCAGAGUUGUCCAUAGCUUUCUUGACUCUUAUGAAGAAUCCUUCUUUGCAUCAUCUCCAGAGGUUCCACAGUCGUCUCCAGAACAGAACCAGAACAAAUCCAGCCUUCUUUAUCAGAUUGUUGAGCCUUUUGAGGUUCCUGGCUCUGAUGCUGCUGCACCAACAGAUGAUAGCAGAAGAGAUGACACUCUUCUGAUGUGUCUUCUUCUUAGACACAUCAGACUUAAAGAUCUGCAGCAACUUGCUGCAAAUCUUGAAGGAUCGUAGCUUCCUCGAGAAGCGCAGUCUGCUCUGUCUCUUUUUAUAGACGGCUUCACUGUUGCGUCUCCAGUCCAGUCUGUGUUCCAGAUGAACACCGAGUCAAGAAUAGAUGAUUGUUCCCACACCAGGCCACAAAGUGAUCCACCAGAUCUCUGUACUCAGCCUCUUGUCUUCCUCUGAUACACACAACAACUGCAGAGUCGUCUGAGUAUUUCUGUAGAUGACAGAAGUCGGACUUGUGCGGGAAGUCCGAACAGUAGAGAGUGAAAAUGAAUGGUAGUCACAGAUGCAGGUGAUUGUUGAGGCCUCCACCUGUGUCUUCUGGAGUUUCUAACGGAGCAGAUCAGGCUGAAUUGUGUUCAAUGCACCUGAGAAGCAAAGACCCUGAUCCUCACUGUGCUGCCUGCUUUGUCCAGAUGACAGUGGGUUUGUAGAACCAGGUGUCUGAUCAACUCCAACUCCACGGUGAUAAGCAAACUGCAGGGGGUCCUGAUAUGUGAUCGUCUGCUUACUCAAGUGGGCCACCAGGAGUCUCUCCAGGACCUUCAUGAUGUGCGAUGCCAGGGCAACGGGUCUACAGUCGUUAUGACUGAUGGGUGACUUUUCUUCGGUACCGGAACCAGGCAGGAUGUCUUCCACAACAACGGAACCUCCUCUUGGGUCAGGCAAAGGUUGAAGAGAUGCUGCAGAAUCCCACAGAGGGACUCUGGGACCGACACCAUCUGGACCUGCAUCCUCGUUCCUGUUCAGUCUCUCCGGCUGCUUCUUCACCUGACUUCUAGAUACAGAAAGGUUGGAGGUGGAGGCAAAAAGGGAGCAGCAGCGUCUCCUAAUGUGGUUGAAGACAAACUGGUGGAAGCAGAAGAGUCCAUGACUGAGGUGGAAGAAGGAACAUCUGAGGCUUGACAGGAAAGCUGUGGGUCAGAGGAGGAUGAGAUAUCUGGCUGCAGACAGGAGAGGAUGAUGAUGAUGAUGAGCUUGUUCCUGGACUGAACCUGUUGAAGAAUGUGUUCAGCUCAUUUGCUGUGUCCAGAAACUAAUAUUGUUUAAAAAAAAAAGUCAUGGUAGCAUGUUUUUAUGCAAUAAUGUGUAUGUAAUGUUUGGAAUGAAGAAGAUAUGCUGCAUAAUCUGAUGUAAUUACUAAAGAGUUUUGUGUCUCGGUGCAAAAACACACAUUUUGUUCGUUUCUGAAGAGUAAAAAUUGAACAAAUGUGUUAAUCACUUAAAGAUUAAGUUUAUAUUUCACAGUCAUCACAAUGCUAAAGAAAAGUCUGACAACAGUGUGAAAAUUAUGUUGUGGAAAGAAGAUAUUAAAGAAUGUAAUAUAUUUUGCAGUGUCAUAGGUUAUUUCUAUGUUAUGAUGUAAUAUAAUACAUGUGUUUUUGGACUUAUUGUAUUCUGUUUUAUUUUUGUGUGUAACUUUCACUUGACUUGUGAAAACAUGGAAAGUAAUUAAGCUGAUCGUAGAGUAAAAUAACAUUUAAGUUGUAAGCAAAUUCAAUAAAAGCUUUUUUUGUCGUCA